Molecule: non-coding RNA, 160 nt
Organism: Populus trichocarpa (black cottonwood)
Lineage: Eukaryota; Viridiplantae; Streptophyta; Magnoliopsida; Malpighiales; Salicaceae
Source: Rfam
AUACUUACCUGGACGGGGUCCAUGGGCGAUCAGGAAGGUUCAUGGCCUAGGUCAGUGAUGUCCAUUGCACAUAGGAUGGGUGCUGGCUUAAGGUCUCCCCGAGAGGGAGAGCCUACGUCAUAAUUUGUGGUAGAGGGGGCUGCGCAAGUCGCGGCCCCUG